GGGGAUUUAGCUCAGUGGUAGAGCGCUUGCCUAGCAAGCACAAGGCCCUGGGUUCGGUUCCCAGCCCCA
This 69-nucleotide transfer RNA is filed under the name Rattus norvegicus (Norway rat). It matches the Rfam family "tRNA". From Rfam's summary of the family: Transfer RNA (tRNA) molecules are approximately 80 nucleotides in length. Their secondary structure includes four short double-helical elements and three loops (D, anti-codon, and T loops). Lineage: Eukaryota; Metazoa; Chordata; Mammalia; Rodentia; Muridae. The record is from Rfam by way of RNAcentral.